CGGUAACAGCUCAAAUUUGAAAUCUGGCUCUUUCAGGGUCCGAGUUGUAAUUUGUAGAAGAUGCUUCGAGUAUAGCUCUGGUCUAAGUUCCUUGGAACAGGACGUCAUAGAGGGUGAGAAUCCCGUAUGUGACUAGGCGCUUUUGCUCAUGUGAAGCUCUUUCGAC
RNAcentral lists this ribosomal RNA (166 nucleotides) under Venturiocistella sp. Its description in RNAcentral is "partial large subunit ribosomal RNA". It matches the Rfam family "Eukaryotic large subunit ribosomal RNA", at positions 99 to 261 of the family's 3401-position model. The record is from RNAcentral. Lineage: Eukaryota; Fungi; Ascomycota; Leotiomycetes; Helotiales; Hyphodiscaceae.